UGACCAGGAGUCAUUAAAGACGGCGGAACAGCCAGAAACAUCAGCGGGACGGCCAAUGGUGACGGUAGACUCAGGAGCGGGAGCAGGGUCCGGACAGUCAGCGGUGACAGCAGGCUCACGGGUGGGUUCGCUGUUCCGAAUUGGUCCAAAGAUGAUGGUGUCGAGGAGCUUCUCUUCUUCCUGGAUCCUGUAGAGCGUGGAGAUUCUCCCUUCAAGCUCCUGGACUUUGUCAGCCAGGUGAGCGCAGCUGACACAACCGGAUAGCGAGCUGACCUUGCUGUGGAAAAAGAGGACAACAAAGUUGAUUUUUGCAGCACUGCAUCACAAGUGAAAGGUCAGACCAUCUUCAUCCACCACACUGAGCUACCGUCACUAUGACCCCACCUGUGGUUGACAGGAGAGGUAAAUUUUGAAAACUUUGAUGCAGUUCUGUCAUUCGUCCAUGUGAAUAAUAAUCAUUGGAACAUGCAGUACAUUCAUGCAAAAUCUGGCACAGUGUUUCAAUUGGAUUCUUCAUCAGCAUCCUCUGAGCUUGAGGACUCCACACAUGCCGC
Molecule: long non-coding RNA, 554 nt
Organism: Mugil cephalus (flathead mullet)
Lineage: Eukaryota; Metazoa; Chordata; Actinopteri; Mugiliformes; Mugilidae
Exons: 4
Source: RefSeq, a predicted model, not a curated record